Molecule: ribosomal RNA, 253 nt
Filed under: uncultured bacterium
Lineage: Bacteria
Description: partial 16S ribosomal RNA
Rfam family: Bacterial small subunit ribosomal RNA
Source: RNAcentral
GACGUAGGAGGCGAGCGUUAUCCGGAUUCACUGGGCGUAAAGCGCAUGUAGGCGGUUGCACAAGUCCGGUGUUAAAGCCCCUGGCUCAACUGGGGGAGGUCAAUGGAGACUGUGCGACUUGAGGGCAAUAGAGGCACGUGGAACUCCCGGUGUAGCGGUGGAAUGCGUAGAGAUCGGGAAGAACACCAGUGGCGAAGGCGACGUGCUGGGUUGCACCUGACGCUGAGAUGCGAAAGUGUGGGGAGCAAACAGG